RNAcentral lists this small RNA (63 nucleotides) under Sinorhizobium meliloti 2011. Its description in RNAcentral is "putative ncRNA". Lineage: Bacteria; Pseudomonadati; Pseudomonadota; Alphaproteobacteria; Hyphomicrobiales; Rhizobiaceae. The record is from RNAcentral.
CUUGCCGGAACGGCAAUGUUCGACCGCCUCGUCGGCUGCGGCCUUGACGGCGCGGACAUCCAU